Molecule: transfer RNA, 83 nt
Filed under: Canis lupus familiaris (dog)
Lineage: Eukaryota; Metazoa; Chordata; Mammalia; Carnivora; Canidae
Also listed under: 1 other name
Rfam family: tRNA
About the family: Transfer RNA (tRNA) molecules are approximately 80 nucleotides in length. Their secondary structure includes four short double-helical elements and three loops (D, anti-codon, and T loops). Further hydrogen bonds mediate the characteristic L-shaped molecular structure. tRNAs have two regions of fundamental functional importance: the anti-codon, which is responsible for specific mRNA codon recognition, and the 3' end, to which the tRNAs corresponding amino acid is attached (by aminoacyl-tRNA synthetases). tRNAs cope with the degeneracy of the genetic code in two manners: having more than one tRNA (with a specific anti-codon) for a particular amino acid; and 'wobble' base-pairing, i.e. permitting non-standard base-pairing at the 3rd anti-codon position.
Source: Rfam by way of RNAcentral
GCCUGAGUGGCUCAGUGGUGGAGCGUCUGCCUUUGGCUCAGGUCAUGAUCCUGGGGUCCUGGGAUCGAGUCCCGCAUCAGGCU